This 602-nucleotide long non-coding RNA is filed under the name Nicotiana benthamiana. RNAcentral describes it as "long non-coding RNA (NBEN_LNC011092)". Lineage: Eukaryota; Viridiplantae; Streptophyta; Magnoliopsida; Solanales; Solanaceae. The record is from RNAcentral.
AGAACUCUGACAUACUCAGGCUAGCCUUUCCAUACUGCACUGGUUCAAUUCUUGGUUGCUAAGUCAAGGUGUAAGUAUUUCCCGGAGUCCUUGAGACCCUUAGGGAACUUUGAUGCACCUAGACUCUAAUUUGUCUAUGGAAUUGAGGCUUAUGAGACCAUUGGAGUCUUGGGAAACUUAGGCCUAAUUGAAGGCUCCCUAUAGAAUAGCUUCUUGAUUUUCCAUUUUACUCAUGUAAUUCAUCCACUUGGCUUGUAAUAAUUUGUAAAUAGAUAUUUGGGGUAUUUAGUAAAAUAGGGUGGGUAGAUGCACACUUUCUGGGGUAAUACAGGUAGAAAUCAUGCUCUUAGGACAUUAUUCUUAAUGUUCGAUUGCUUUACUUAAAUAGAAAACACGCUCAUAGGUUUACUAUUUAAUCUGUUUGCUCGGCCUAAUAGAAAACAUGUUCAUAGGCUUUACUUUUAAAAAAAUCCGAUUGCUUUACCUAAUAGAAAUCAUGCCAAUAGGACUUCAUUUUUUAAGUUGUUUGCAUCAAGUAGAAAUCAUGCUUAUAAGGUUCUGCAUGUUGUCAUAUUAGAAACCAAUCAUGUCUCAGAUCAGUU